This is a long non-coding RNA of Chelonoidis abingdonii (Abingdon island giant tortoise), 375 nucleotides long. RefSeq lists it as uncharacterized. Lineage: Eukaryota; Metazoa; Chordata; Testudines; Testudinidae. The record is from RefSeq and is a predicted model, not a curated record.
ACCAUUGCCAUUGCUGGUGCAGCCAACUCUUGGGGCAUUAAUGGAGACUGGAUACAGAUGUCUGAACCAUUAUCUUGUCCAUCCUGAAGUAUGCUAAACACCACAGUGGUUCAAAUGCCUGGAGACAUGAUGCAGCGUCUAUACCCGUGCUCCUCAACUUUGCUCCGGAGGAGUCAAAUAUUAAAAGCAUGGGCCAACAUACAAGCAGAGGUUUUGAUGAGGCAGUGAAGAUUUGCAGAAUCAAGACCUAAGACGGGAGCCCUUUUUGAAAGAGACAUUAACUUCAUUCAGUGAAGAUACUGAAACAAAAACAGAAAUUCCACCCUGGACACGAGAAGCCUUCCAGAAAAAGUUUAACCAGAACUGUCCCUUUUG